AACCUGCCCUUUGCACUGGGAUAGCCUCGGGAAACCGAGGUUAAUACCGGAUACUCCAUAUUUGUCGCAUGGGCGAAUAUGGGAAAAGCUCCGGCGGCAAAGGAUGGGGCCCCGCGGCCUGUUAGCUAGUUGUGGGGUAGUGGCCUACCCAAGGCCAAUGAUGGGUAGCCGGGUUGAGAGACCGACCGGCCAGAUUGGGACUGAGACACGGCCCAGACUCCUACGGGAGGCAGCAGUGGGGAAUCUUGCACAAUGGGCGAAAGCCUGAUGCAGCGACGCCGCGUGCGGGAUGAAGGCCUUCGGGUUGUAAACCGCUUUCAGCAGGGACGAGGCCGCAAGGUUGACGGUACCUGCAGAAGAAGCCCCGGCUAACUACGUGCCAGCAGCCGCGGUAAU
Molecule: ribosomal RNA, 396 nt
Filed under: uncultured Atopobium sp.
Lineage: Bacteria; Bacillati; Actinomycetota; Coriobacteriia; Coriobacteriales; Atopobiaceae
Description: bacterial SSU rRNA
Rfam family: Bacterial small subunit ribosomal RNA
Source: RNAcentral